GUGCCUGAGGAGCGGAUGGGAUGCCCACGCCUAUGGGUGUGGCUGUCGUCUCCACACCUGCAUCCCAUUCCAGGCGAUCAUCAGGAGGACUAUUUAACCCCACAUGGCCGGCUUCUCCACACCAGUCCAUUAGUCACCAUUCAGCGGUUAUUGUUCAGCGCGUUUGAGCCUACACCUGCCCGUCCUCCUGCCUGCCUGGAGUUCAGAUUAGCCACCGGUCAUCAUCUCCUCCGCCUUCCUGGAGCCCUCUCCCGCGGACCCUCACCCCUCCCUCCGGUUCCCACGGCCCAGCCCUGAUUCCUCCCACGGUCCCGAUCACGGCGUUCCCGAGUUGUUAUCUCCCGGUCCCUUGGUUCUAAUAUUAACACUGCAUGUUUUCCUUUGAUCAUUCUGGGACACCCUUAGUUUGAGAAAUAAAGUUAUUCUGCGUGCA
Molecule: long non-coding RNA, 433 nt
Organism: Oreochromis niloticus (Nile tilapia)
Lineage: Eukaryota; Metazoa; Chordata; Actinopteri; Cichliformes; Cichlidae
Exons: 3
Source: RefSeq, a predicted model, not a curated record